GUGAGGAAUUUUCCGCAAUGGGCGAAAGCCUGACGGAGCAAUGCCGCGUGAAGGAUGAAGGCCUAUGGGUUGUAAAGUUCUUUAGCCGAUGAUUAUAAUGACUGUAGUCGGAAAAUAAGCCCCGGCUAACUUCGUGCCAGCAGCCGCGGUAAUACGAAGGGGGCGAGCGUUAUUCGGAAUCACUGGGCGUAAAGCGUGCGUAGGCGGUUUUGUAAGUUAGGAGUGAAAGCCCAGGGCUCAACCUUGGAAUUGCUCUUAAAACUGCAAGGCUCGAAUCUCGGAGAGGAUAGCGGAAUUUCCAGUGUAGCAGUGAAAUGCGUAGAUAUUGGAAGGAACACCAGUGGCGUAAGCGGCUAUCUGGACGAGUAUUGACGCUGAGGCACGAAAGCGUGGGGAUCAAACAGGAUUAGAAACCCGGGUAGUCC
RNAcentral lists this ribosomal RNA (425 nucleotides) under uncultured bacterium. RNAcentral describes it as "partial 16S ribosomal RNA". It matches the Rfam family "Bacterial small subunit ribosomal RNA", at positions 354 to 796 of the family's 1533-position model. The record is from RNAcentral.